RNAcentral lists this transfer RNA (69 nucleotides) under Marmota marmota marmota (Alpine marmot). It matches the Rfam family "tRNA". From Rfam's summary of the family: Transfer RNA (tRNA) molecules are approximately 80 nucleotides in length. Their secondary structure includes four short double-helical elements and three loops (D, anti-codon, and T loops). Further hydrogen bonds mediate the characteristic L-shaped molecular structure. tRNAs have two regions of fundamental functional importance: the anti-codon, which is responsible for specific mRNA codon recognition, and the 3' end, to which the tRNAs corresponding amino acid is attached (by aminoacyl-tRNA synthetases). tRNAs cope with the degeneracy of the genetic code in two manners: having more than one tRNA (with a specific anti-codon) for a particular amino acid; and 'wobble' base-pairing, i.e. permitting non-standard base-pairing at the 3rd anti-codon position. RNAcentral also lists the same sequence under 1 other name. Lineage: Eukaryota; Metazoa; Chordata; Mammalia; Rodentia; Sciuridae. The record is from Rfam by way of RNAcentral.
GGAGCUGUGGCUCAGUGGCAGAGCGCUCGCCUAGCAUGUGUGAGGCACUGGGUUUGAUCCUCAGCACCA